UAGUCAUAUGCUUGUCUCAAAGAUUAAGCCAUGCAUGUCUAAGUAUAAACAAAUUUGUACUGUGAAACUGCGAAUGGCUCAUUAAAUCAGUUAUAGUUUAUUUGAUGUUACAUUGCUACAUGGAUAACUGUGGUAAUUCUAGAGCUAAUACAUGCAAUCAAGCCCCGACUUCUGGAAGGGGUGUAUUUAUUAGAUAAAAAACCAACGCGGCUCGCCGCUCCCUUGGUGAUUCAUAAUAACUUCUCGAAUCGCAUGGCCUUGUGCUGGCGAUGCUUCAUUCAAAUUUCUGCCCUAUCAACUUUCGAUGGUAGAGUAGUGGUCUACCAUGGUAUCAACGGGUAACGGGGAAUUAGGGUUCGAUUCCGGAGAGGGAGCCUGAGAAACGGCUACCACAUCCAAGGAAGGCAGCAGGCGCGCAAAUUACCCAAUCCCGACACGGGGAGGUAGUGACAAUAAAUAACAAUAUAGGGCCCUAUUGGGUCUUAUAAUUGGAAUGAGUACAAUUUAAAUCCCUUAACGAGGAACAACU
RNAcentral lists this ribosomal RNA (529 nucleotides) under uncultured eukaryote. RNAcentral describes it as "SSU rRNA". It matches the Rfam family "Eukaryotic small subunit ribosomal RNA", at positions 21 to 549 of the family's 1831-position model. The record is from RNAcentral.